UACGUAGGUCCCGAGCGUUGUCCGGAUUUAUUGGGCGUAAAGCGAGCGCAGGUGGUUUAUUAAGUCUGGUGUAAAAGGCAGUGGCUCAACCAUUGUAUGCAUUGGAAACUGGUAGACUUGAGUGCAGGAGAGGAGAGUGGAAUUCCAUGUGUAGCGGUGAAAUGCGUAGAUAUAUGGAGGAACACCGGUGGCGAAAGCGGCUCUCUGGCCUGUAACUGACACUGAGGCCCGAAAGCGUGGGGAGCAAACAGG
RNAcentral lists this ribosomal RNA (252 nucleotides) under uncultured bacterium. RNAcentral describes it as "partial 16S ribosomal RNA". It matches the Rfam family "Bacterial small subunit ribosomal RNA", at positions 524 to 776 of the family's 1533-position model. The record is from RNAcentral.